AAGACAAGUCCAGAAGUGAGCAUGAAUUCAGCAAAACGUGACGAAUUCACACCAUGAGAGAAAUUGCGCUUGAAGUCAAUCCCUUGGCGGCAGAGCAUGUCAAUUGAGUCUUGAUUGUAAAGGUCAUGCUCAAAAUCAAAAUCGCAAAAGUUGAACUCCCAUAUGUAGCGGUUAUUUGUACCAAAAUGAGGAAGGUUGCCGUUACCAUUAGAUAGGGUGAUACCAACUUGGAUGAGUUUAAGAGCAUCAACAUUGACCUUCAAGUAACGAUAGUGGUCAGAGGGUUUAAGAUUACAGCGGUCAACUUUGGGUGAAUAAAUUACGCCGGGAAAUUCGGUAUCCAUGGAGAUGAAAGGAUAUUGAUUGACAACUUGACGGAUGAGAUCAAAUUCAACCUCUAAAUUGGAUGCCCAAACUUGACGGAUGAUGAUUGGCUUUUCCUUCAGCUGGUUCAUUUUAAAUUGAUCUCGAUUCAAGUCUUAAUUUUGAAGACAAAGAAGUAUAAAGAAAGAAGGCUCUGGAAAUCAAGUUUGUGUAUGAUUAUGAGAAGAGAAUAGAUAUUUAGGGAGAGUUUUAUAUUAAGAAGAGUAAACAAACACACACGGCAGAGAUAUUGCUUGGAAAGUGGUAACGUAUGUGUUAAUUAAAGACGUGUGUUAUUUGUUAAUACAUGACAUGAGUGUGUCUUUUUUGGUGGCUUUGUUUCAUUCAACAAAUCAGGUCAGUAUUACUAUUCAGUGUUAAGUGGGAUGAAUGGGAAGUCAAGUGCGGCGUCCAAGUUCAAUGGGUCCACAACAAACUAUAACGGACGGCUUCAACUAUCUGUCGGUUUUCUUUGUUUAAUUUUUUUUUUUUUUUUUUUGCAUUUCUUUGAUUAAAUAUUUGAUUUUACUUUUGUUUUAUUUUUUGAUUCAAAAUUUACUUUUAUAACCCACUUGGGUUGGCAUGGUGAUAUUGAUUUAGGAUCUUAGAGUGUGCUCCUCUUCAAGGUUUUAGGUUCCAUUCUCUCCGGUGCCAAUUUAGGUGGGCUAGUUUAACUUCUUAAAAAAAAUUACUUUUAUAAACAAAAUUAUAUUGAUUUUGAGGAAUCAAAGUACAAAAAGAUUUGAUUUUAUUGAACAAUUUUCAAUACUUUAUCGAAUCAAAAUAUAAAAAGAUUUGAUUUGAUUGAACGAACUAGUGUCAAAAGUAUUGACAGCUAAGUCGGCCAUAGUCAGUGUUAGAUGUGCUUUGAAAUUUUACAUUCAGUUUUGCCUAUCUCAUGACGCGGAGGAAUGACUCGCGGCACGUAACUCGAAGAAUUGCAGGAUGUCCAACCACUAUCUAUCUCGCAAUGCGGAGGAAAAGACUCGCGACGGGGAGACACAGUUUUUUUUUCUUGUUUUCUUGGUCAUCAAGUUUUAAGGGCUGGACGAACUCUAUAAAUACAAGGCUCAUGUUUUUGGGUUUUGUUGAGAGAGAGUGGAAAGAUGUGAAUCUUAGGGAACCAAGAGAGGAGAUUCUUGGAAAAAGGUUAGUGCCUUUUGGGUAGGGAUUCAUGGGGGUGGAAACACAUGAUAGGAGAGAUUAAGGCAAACUAGAGUUUAUUAAAAGAGGAGAUCAUUAGGAAGUCAAAGGCUAAUGAUUAGUUCUUUUUAAGAUAGAAAUUAGGGUAGGAAAAUAAUUGUAACAACUUAGGUAGAGAAAUCAUUGAGUGUCUUGGUCAUGGGAAGAGAUUCGGGAAAAUUAUAUAAAUUAGGGUUUGCUUUUAAAGCCAGUUGAAGACUAAUUUCUUGUAACCCUUGUAACUCUUUGUAAAGAACUCUUUGAUAGUGAAUUAGAGUGUUGCUCUCUCAGCGAUAAAAGUUCAAUUUGAACUAAACUUGGUAACCAAAAAAAAUUGGUGUAUUGUCCCUAUUCUCUACUACUCUUUUAUCUUGGUGUUCUUCUAUUCAAUUAUGGUCUUACAUUACACUCUUAUUAUUCCUUGCGAUCUAUUUGGUUAUUGGUUGUCGAUGAACCCUUGCUCCACGCAUAAAGUAUUGGUGUGAGUCUAAUCGAAUUCACAACAAUUUGGAAUAUUUGCCUUCUUGGGGUACUUGUUGAUGACUCGAUGUCCUUCUAGGUGAUAUUUGGGUGGGUGGGGGGUCAUUCAUCCCUGCCACAACAAUACCCUAUGUUAUACUUGGUCUAUUGGAACAUGAUUAUGCAGAGAGAAAUCUUAGUCACCAGGAAGAAGAUGGGUCUUAUUGUAUUGGAAAAACAUAUGUGUAUUAUCAAAUAUUGGCACUAUAUUUUGUCGAUGAUAGUUGGUCUUGGGGAACAUGAUUCAAGUGGCUAGUACUUGGUUCGUUCAACCUAUGUUACUUUAUCGAUCGAGGUUCUCUUUGUGCAGGAUAUCCAAUUUCUUAGGUCGUUCAUAUUUAGUCGACCUAACAAUAUUUCUUAAGUCGACUCAAAAUCUGACAUAACAUGUCAAAACCCGUUAUGUCACCUACUAUUAGGUAAGGCAAGAAACUGACUUAAAAGUCCUUUUCAUCUGACUUAAAAAGGGUUUUUUGCACUAGUGAUGGACUUGUGACAUCAUGUGUUCACUAUGAACUUGUAAUGCUUGAGAAUAACGAGUGGCACCCUGUUUGCACAGAAAAAAUAUGUUUUGAUGAUGAGAAUAAUUCUUCAAAAGAUGUAAAUAAUCAAAGAAUGUAUAUAUUUAUAAUAUAGAAAUUUUUGUUACAACUUUCUUGUAUACAACUCAUUAAGUUGCAAUUUCUAAUCCAAAUAGUACCCCAGCGUGUUUUUGAGCCUCAUUAUUCAUAAAAUAAGUAUCCAUCAUUUUCUUAAAUGCAUGCCACGUCAACAAACUAUCUGAUCCAGCUUGAUGAGACUUUCCAGCAACCCGACCCACGUUAAGUGUUGUAGCGACUCGCUCGAGACCACCAUACAAAGCGUUGCAAAACCUCAUCAUAUGUUUCAUAUCGUAAACAUUUUUUCCAAACAAUAUUGUUAAAAUAUUUAAGAAGUCCUCUAAGCGGUUCGGCAAAUUCCUUCGAGUCAAGAUCUUGACCAAAUACCCAAAAUCAUAAGCACUGUGAAAUGUGACCCAAACAACUGAUUUGUUGAAGACAAGUCCAGAAGUGAGCAUGAAUUCAGCAAAACGUGAUGAAUCAACACCAUGACAUAAAUUGCGCUUGAAGUCAAUCCCUUGGCGGCAGAGCAUGUCAAUUGAAUCUUGGUUGUAAAGGUCACGCUCGAAGUCAAAAUCACAAAAGUUAAAUUCCCAUAUGUAAGAGUUAUUUGUACCAAAAUGAGGAAGGUUACCGUUACCAUCAGAAAGGGUGAUACCAACUUGGAUGAGUUUAAGAGCAUCAACGUUGACCUUCAAGUAACGAUAGUGGUCAGAGGGUUUAAGAAGGCGGCGAUCAACGUUGGGUGAAUAAAUCACACCAGGAAAUUCAGUGUCCA
This 3441-nucleotide long non-coding RNA is filed under the name Medicago truncatula (barrel medic). RNAcentral's name for it is "long non-coding RNA (MTRU_LNC006664)". The record is from RNAcentral. Lineage: Eukaryota; Viridiplantae; Streptophyta; Magnoliopsida; Fabales; Fabaceae.